Molecule: long non-coding RNA, 1578 nt
Organism: Polypterus senegalus (gray bichir)
Lineage: Eukaryota; Metazoa; Chordata; Cladistia; Polypteriformes; Polypteridae
Exons: 5
Source: RefSeq, a predicted model, not a curated record
UAGGAGUUGCUGCUCCUUUUCUUUCCCUUUGUUGUUGUUUAGUUGCAUUUCGAGGGCGGGACCGCUGCUGAAAUGAACAAGGCGCGGUCAGAGCCCCCUUCACACGUGCAGACAAAGGGAUCCAGCAGCACAGCCAAAAACAUUCCGCUAACUUAGUAUCUGUCAGUUUGGUGAAGUAGCAAAAAGCAUGCGAAUGUUCCGUACAAAUGGCUCGGACGUGAUGCAGGACGCCGCACCCGGGCUUGGCUGUCACUAAAUAGAAAGAAGUUUGCAGACUCGUGGGGUUGGAAAACUUGCGGAAAGCAGGAGUUGCUGCGCCACAGUUCUGGCAAAGUUGAGGACAAAGCGGAGAGGAGAGUCCCUUUGUUCUGCAACGAGCUUUGAAAGGGAGAUCAGGAGACCUCGGCCAUCCUCACGGAAACUCCAGCAACUUGUACAGGGUUCGGAGCAGGGUAACCGCCCUUCUCAUUUUUGGUGGUCUAUCACGUUUCAAAAAGUGGAUAUCCCACUCAUUCUCCGCAGGAACAUACUAUAAACUUGACGGAUUUAUGGAAAGUGAUGCCUAUUUUAUGACCUGCUUGCUACGUAUACGCAGGACAUGGAUGGAUUCAAAGCGGUCUUCUCACUGGUCACAAGAAACAGGAAUACAAUUUAUGGAAACGCCGGAUGUUCCAUUGGAUUACAGCCUCUUCCUUUUUAAGUCUGAACGUGUUGAUAAUAAUCAAGCACUGGGAUGUUGAUUUUCUGCUUUGGAUCGUUUACUUGUUCACAUUAGGUCGGAAUUGAAGACUUUGCAAUGAUACUGGGGGACUAUGGAAACCACAAGAAACCAUGGGUUCGGCAAGCAGUUAAAUGGACUAUGCAAUUGUUGCGACUCCUUUGAGACAGUUAGAGCAACAUUUACACAUCACAGGAUAUCUGAACCUUCACGGAAGCAGUAUAUUUAUUUGUGAACAGACUUGUCUUCAAGAUAAUGCUGCAUGCCUCAAGACUAGCAAAGUUCUGCAAUGACUUCAGGAAUGUAGCAGUGAAUUAAUAGUAAUGGAGUGGCUUCUCUUCUCAUCAGAUCUUAAUUCAAUCAAGCAUAUGUAGGAUGACAUGGAAUGGUGUAUUCAGUAGAGAUCCCACCAGCAAGUAAUUUCCUCAGGUUUUGGAACAAACUGCAGUCAACAUGGGCCACCGUCUCCAAGUUAAACUUUUGAAACUUUGUGAAAGCAAAUGAAGGUUUACUCACCACUAGAAAGAGUGAGGAAGAAAAUAAUUUAGAAAGGGUCCAGAAAAUGAGCUGCGGUCAAGAAAACAGGCAAAAAUUAUAAAAUGAGUGACGCAGGACAAACCUAGAAGACGACUCUAUGAACAACAACCUUCCAUUGGGACCACACACAAGAACUUCUGUCACCUGAAAGUGGACGUUCACUUAUGAACCUGAACUAUCAUGAGAGAGUCCUUACUGAGUCCAACUCCAGGAACUGACCUUAUUGAAUGUCGACUGUUUUUCUUUCCUCUUGACCCUUUUGGCUGCCAUUUCACAUUUUUGCCAUAUUAAACAGGGUUUCUCAGCUGGGAACUCUAACUCUU